Long non-coding RNA from Equus caballus (horse), 8191 nucleotides. The record is from Ensembl. NCBI's taxonomy places the organism in Eukaryota, Metazoa, Chordata, Mammalia, Perissodactyla, Equidae.
CCCAGCUCACAAUCUGUUUCCUUCUGUGGCGAAGUCGGGCACGUCCCACUGCUGGGGGUGGAGAGCCAGGAAUCCCGAGUGGAGGCCCGAGGACGCCCAGUCUCUGCUGCUUCCCCCACAGGACCCUCCGCCUGGUGGGACCCGACGCGGACCCCGCCGAGCUCUGCGUCCACGACUGGUGCCCCCAGGAACGCGUCCGUGGGAAGCAGGGAAAGUUUCAAACAUGGUGGAAUGGAGUCGUCGGAUCUUUCUUUCUAUGCCGGAUUGCAGGCGGCCCCGAGGCUGGCCAACCGCACGAAAAGUUCCCCAUCAUCUGGAUGUCGUGAAUGACUUUACAUACCCAGGACGACCUGUGCAUCUUUUGAAAAGUAGAAGAGCUUCUCUGUUGGAACGAACACUUUCUCCUUUCGCUGUAGCCUUGAAUUUCUCGGGAUGCAGAAGCGCUGCGCUGCUCCCAGGCACGCACGAGGCCCGGCGCCCAGCAUUCCUCACUUUUUAAGGAGUUCUCUAAGACACCCGCAGCGCAAGCUCUUCAUUCUGAAUCAUUUUAAUUCUGUUCCAAAAAAAAAAAGAGCCCUUCGAUUUAACAUGGUUUUCACCAGAUGCCCGCAGGUUGGGAGCUGAUGCUGCUGCCUUUGGGCUCAGCCCGGCAUGCGAGGUGGAGUCGGGGGGUGCUUGGGGGCAUGCGGGGGUCAGGAGGCACUGGGGGUCCUGCGGCUCCCUCUGGCCACAGACAAGUCUGCUCAGCUCUGUGGACAGCAGUGUUCCCAGGGGUCCAUUCCUGCCACUCCCCAGUCACCGCAGCUGUGUGUCCAAGGAUGUGCUGGAUCUUACGACCAACUCGAGGGCUGUGGACUGAGGGAAAGGCACUUCUAGGCCUUGCACACGCUCUUUAUGCCCUCGCCUGGAAAGGGACUGUGGCAAUGAGCAAUCCCCCUUUCGUAGCGGGAUUGCAAACUGCCCCCAGGCCUUCACUUUCCCUGCAGACACACCUUUGCAACAUGACUUUGCAUCUCCUCCCAUCAAUAAGUGGAGUUAAUUUCCCCGCCCUGCCCUUUAAAUCUGGGUUGGGCUUGUGACUCACUCUGGUGAGAGAAUACGAUGUGAGUGAUGGCUGCCAGUUCUAAGCCUCAGGCUCAGGAGGCUUAGAGCUCUUCCGCUCUUCCUCUCGGACGCUGUGAUUACCAACUGACCAAGCUGCACACUUAGACGGAAGAGACGUGGCCCAAUCCCCCGUCACCCUUGCUGACAGCAAAACAGCUGUCGGACUUCGGAGGGAGGCCGUCCUAGACCAAGUGGCCUUCGGCCAACCUGCCAGCUGAACACAGAUGCAUGAGUGAGCCAAACCAAGAUCAACCAGAGCUGGCCCAAGUCAGCAGAACUGCCCAGCUGACCCGUAGACUUGUGAGCAAUAAGAAGUGCUUGUUGUUUUAAGUCACUAAGUGUUGGAGUGACUCCUUACACAGCAACAGCCAACUGAUAGACUCCCUCACUUAAGGGCGCGGGCGCACACCUGACAGGCGGUAUCACACUGCACUCCGGCAUUCACAGGCUCAUUCACCCCUCAGAUAUUGGUUGAAUGCCUACCUUAUAACAGGCCUUGUUUCAGGCUCAGAGGAUGCACUGUCCCAACUCUCUCGGCGUUUGCAUUCCACUGGGUGAAGACAAACCACAAAGAAAUAAAUCAGUAAAUAAAUAAGAAAAAUACCAGCUAGCAGUAAGCAAUAUCCAGACCAUUUAAAAUGGCCUAUGAUAGAGAGUACCCCUGGGGUCCCUUUAGGCUGAUGGCCAUGGAAGCUUCGUGGAAGAGACAUGCAGACCAAGGUCUGGACGUCGCGUAGAGGAGCCAUGUGAGGACGGAGGGAAGAGCAGUGCGAGAGCCCCAAGGCUGGGAUGUGGGCGUCUCAGACAGAAAGAAGACGGGGUCUGGAGCCCCUGGGGAAGGAGAGGAGGGGAAGGAGAGAGCGUGGAGGGCUGUUAAACCAGGAGAACUUAGAUUAUAUGCUAAAUGCACUAAGCAAGCUAUCAUCAUUUUUUAAAACAACAGAGAAUAACAUAAUCUGAUUAAUGCUUAGAUGACUCCCCCUGGCUGACGGGCAUAGAGAGGUUAUUAAGGGCACAUGUGGAAGAAGGGCAUCAGCUAAGAAGGCCCUGCAGUGACGUAGCCGGACCAAGGUUAUAGCAAUGGAGGUGAAGAGGACUAUGUCUUAGGGGAAGACAUGACAGGACUUGGGAUGACCUGGCUGUGGGAGAUACAGAGGAAUCUAGGGUGACGCCGAGACAUUUGUUCAGUAAGUGGAUGGACCAAAAUGGAAGAGACAAGAGGAGGGGCAGGCCUGAGGGCAGGGCAGUGGGAGUCUGCGAUGUCUGUUAGGACAGGGAGAGGCAAGGGCGUGGAAGGUGUCAACGAAAAUAAUCCAUAACCAAUCUAUAAAUGAAAAUUUGGGUCAGUUUAUUCUGAGCUGAAAUCUGAGGACCAUGGCCCAGGGCCUUUCUUCCCAAAGGAAGAAAGGGUACCGAAGAAGUGGGGUCCACAGAGUGAUUAUAUACCCCCAAACAGGGUGUUUCACAUAUGAUUGAAAUGUCCCUCCCACAAUGGUCACAAGAUUGCCCUGUCAGCACAGCGCUUGAUGGACACAGCAGGAGGCAAGUCUGUUGUCUGGAGCUGGGCGGUCACAGGUGAGCGCAGCAAUCAGUUCCUAGCCUAAGGAAAGAUGCUUAAUCCUUAAGGAGAUGCCAAUGUUGGGAGGGGGAGGGAAGUUGCACCUUUAUCUCAAGGGCCUUUGUUCUUGCCAUAGGGAAUAUCUAAAGCAGAUACACAAUGCAUGCUCAACAGCCACGGUCAGGCCCUUUUGGAAAGACAAGGUCAGGCUGAAUUAGGUUUAUACCAAAUGGCUUCCUCAUAUUCUCCAAUAUAUCCUAUUGCUUGCCACAUGGGCCUGGGGGCCUGGGGAGGGGUCAGCACUGGAGGAGUAGUUUGGGGGUCACUGGCAUGAAGAUGACGUAAGCGUUGGACAGAAUGUGGCCACCCAAGGACAGUGAUUAGCAGAGAUGGGAGCCCAGGACAGAGACCUGGGCACACCUACAUUUACGGGUUGAGCAGCCUAGAAGGAGCCAGCAAGGAGCCUGAGAAGGAAUAACCAGUUAAGGCAGGCACAAAGGAGGAGGCCCAUACGGUGACACUGAAACCAGGAGGGCAGAACGGGCAAGAAGAGGACGUGGGCAACUGUGUCGGGUGCUCCUGACUGCUAUGGAGGACAGGGACCUUCCUGCAGCUGGUGAAUUUGGCAAACAUUCGAAUGCCUUUUGCCCUCUUCAGGCCGACAACACAUCCCAGGACAUCAGCUGGAUUGUGAAGUUCUCUUCCGGCUCCUGUCCCUGGGUGCUGGACUGACUCGCUACCAACUGCCGGCACCCGUCCUACACACGCCUGCCCUCAUAGGUUCAGUCAUUCCCCAAACUCCACCACAAUCCAGGGGCCCAGAAUUCCAAUGACCCAUCAGGGUAGUCAGCAGGGAUUCUCUGGAAACUGUCUGCUCCACAGGGACAAAGAUGGCGUCCGUCUUGCCUGCACUGUGUCCCAGUGCCCAGCACAGCGCCCAGCCACAGAGAAGUUCAAACACCGAGGACGAGAAGGGAUGUUAGAGUCCCCAUCUGAACUCCCGCCGUUGGCGCUGCAUGUGGCUUCUCCUGGGACCCAGGCUGCCACCACCUUAUCCCCCUGUGUACCGAUAUGAGGCAUCUUUUCAAUGUCCCCCAAACUGAGGUUUCUCGGGGUUGGGGUUCUGUCUUGCUGAGGCCAGGUCCCCAGUACAGCUGCUGACUUCUCUGAUGUGGACUUCUGAUUGGCUGGCAGGGCUUUCCUGGUGUCCUGCCCACCUGCAGAGCUGGGACAUCCCCUUAACUAUGCUUAAGGGUCUCAUCUCCCAGGACCUUGCCUUGAAGACUGUAUCAUCUGCCAUGAGCAUGGCCUCUGCUGUAGAAAUCUCUAAUCCUUCAAUUAACUUUUCCUGCUGUAGCAAGAUUAGGUCAAAAGACUGUCUUCUCUGGUUGAGCCAGAACCAAACAACGUUCCUAAGACUUUUCAACAACUUGCUUACACUCUGGUUUCCACAAUGUUGGAAGUAAGGUGACUAUUAUACCUCCAGCUCGCGUCACAGUAGAAGUCUGUGGAAACCACCCAAAAUGUCAGCCCCGCAAUUCAUGCACUACUGUGUUGAUCCCCUUGUUUAGUCUGUCAAAGCCUCAGUUUCCUCAUCUGUCAAAUGGGACAACAGCUAACUUCAAGGAUUUUAUGGGGAUCAGAGUGAAUCCUGUGCUGAAGGAUGCUCCCUGCCUGACACAGCAUGCACACUCUGACUGGAGCCUCCGUCCACUUUUCUUGCUGGAGCCUCCGUCCACUUUUCUUGCUUGGGAACUCUUCUUUCAUUCAUUCAACAAACACACACUGCUUAAGUUGUGCAAGGCAGGACUUCAGGCCCUGAGGCCCCAGACUGAACGAGCAGGACAGUGCACCUGGUCUUACACGGCUUCUGGUCUUGUGAGAGAGACAGAUGGCAAACGAAUGAAGAGACAGCGGUCGGUGGUGGGUGCUCAGUGUGAAUGAACCGGGAUGCCAACGGUAGGAAAGAAAGGAGGGGGGUCUGCUUUAUGCUGAGCGGAAGGCAGGUCUCUGGGAAGUACACUUGAGCUGAGACCUAAAUGACAAGGAGUUAAGCCCACUGAACACCUGAAAGAAGAGCUUUCUAGAAAGAAGGCAGAGCUGGGGAGAGCCCUGCUCCUGGCACGAGUGGACUUGCACGGCUUCACACAAGGCACAGGACAGCGGUGGGCAGAGCCCUGAGCACUCGGGGCCUCUUUGGUUGGAGUGAAGAGCUUGUAUUUUCUCCUCAGUGCAACGAGGAGCCUGUGGAGAAUUUAAAGCAAAGGCAGGAACGAGAACUGGCCUACGUGCCUGCCCACCGCCAGGAAGGGUAGUUUUGGGGCAACAAGAGUAGAGGGAGGAAGACCACACAGGAGGCUAACGUGGCCAUGUGGGCGACGGAUGCUGGUGGCCCGGACCGCCGUGGGAGCCAUGGGACGGUCAGAGGCGCACAGGUGCCACGAGAUCUUAGAGAACGAGUCAGCAGGACCUGCAGCUGGAUUGAACUGAGGAGGGAGGUGAGGAAGAGCCAGAGAUCAAGGAGGAUUCCCAGGAUUUGACGUGAGCCACGGAGGCGCCAUUUACUGAGAAAACACCAGGGAAGGAGCACGCUUAUGGGAGAAAAUCCAGAUUUCAGUUCUGGACACUGCAAGUUGGAGAUGCCUAUUAAACAUACACGUGGAUACGAGCAGGUGGCAGCAUAGGCCUGGGCGCACAAGGGGGAUGUCAGGGGAGGGUCAGGGCUGAGGAUACAGAGAUGUGUUUUAGGCUAAUGAGGGUACUUAGAGCCACAGAACUGGGUGAGAUUCCCAAAAGACCGGGUGUGGAUGGAGGGGAAAAGGAGUCAAGGUGCAGUCGCAGGACAAGCCAGCACUCGGAGGCCCAGUGGAGGGUUCUGAGGAGGAGGCGCCCGAGCAGAAACACCAGGAGAGGGUGAAGCUGCAAGAGCAAAGAGGGCGUCAAGUGCAAGGGUCUGAGUCACAGUUUUUAUAGCCACCAGGCUUGCUUCACAAACACCCCAUUAACAGCAAACCAGCAUUAAGGCCAAUCACCAACCUGUCGACCCCAAGAGCCAAGUCAGUGUUCACUUCUCAAGUGUAUCAGCGUACGGGGUGAAUUGUGUCAACAAAAUAAGGUAUGUUGGAGUCUUAACCCUCAGUUCCUCAGAACGUGACCUAAGUUGGAUAUGGGAUCUUCACAGAGGCAAUCGAGUUAAAACUAGACCUUUAAGGUGGGUUCUAAUCCAGUAUUACUGGUGGCCUUAUAAGAAGAGGACACAGACACACACACACAGGGAGACGCCAUGUGAAAAUGAAGACAGAGAUCAGGAGAUGGAGCAGAAGCCAAGGAAGGCCACAGAUUCCAGCAGGCACGGAAGCCGGGAGAAAGGCCCGGCACGGGUUCUCCUUCAAGCCCUCACAGGCCGAAGAAGGAACCCACAUCUUGAACCAGACUUCUAGUCUCCAGAACUUGACACAAUAAACUUGGGUGAAGCUCCCCAGUGUGUGGUACUUUGCCAGGCAGUCUUAAGAAACCAACAUGGCCAGUAGGCCAGAAGGGCAGCCACAGGCCUCAGCACUCUCACGCUGGGGUCUCCCUUCCCCGUGUGCAAAAGACAAAGUAGGUUCUGAGACAGUGUUAGCACUGUGGGACACCUCCAUGGGCUUGUUCUCAGUGUAUGAAAAUGGAACUUUGCUGCCAGCACUAGCAAAAACACUCGGGACAAAAUCACACAGGGAGAGUGCUAUUGGGUGUGGCUUAAUGCCACAGGGAGCCCACUUUUGUCAGGAGGUAGAGGAGAGAAGGCUGCAAGCUGUGGGGAACACGAGAGCCAAAACGGUGGAGGGAAGCAAAGCUGAGCGUUUGUUGUGCACAGAAGGAGUAAGAAGACUGAAGGAGAGCAUGGUGGCCACGUGGUGGCCCCAAAGGGAGGGCGCAGGGCCUCCACCGUUUGUCCAGUUAGAAACAACUUGUGUGGACCGUGCACACACACUUCGAAGGCCUCCUCUCUCUCUGCCUAUUUCUGUUCCCACGAGAAACGGCAACACUGUUUCUCUUUUGAUACUAAAUUUACAAAAUUCAAAAGAAAAUAUGGCAUUUUUUGUGUUAAAAAAUGUGGAACGUACCCAUAAGGUGUUCGAGUUAAGCUGUCUUUGAUCAUAAGGAGCAGAUAUCCACAAAUGUGUUCAACUCAGAUGCAGGACACUGGCUGUUGUCAGGAUCCAUGUGAGGUAGGGAGAGACGUUCAGUUGAAAUCAAGAACUUUGGUAAUAAAAAUAGGUCCCACUUCAUAUUGUGCCAGCACCCUGAGAAGUGCUCCCCACGUGCUGACUCCUUCGUUCCUCACAGUGCCCCUCCAGGGGAGGUGCUGUACUUAACGCCCGUCUUAUGGACGAGGAAACUAAGGUAGAGAGAUUAGGUGUGUUGCCCGAAAUUACAAAGCUGGUAAGUGAGGAACCAGGAUUUGAACCAAGAUGGGCUGGCUCCUAGGAAUGUGCCCCUACAGACUAGUCUGUGCAGCUCCUCGGGGACCCGAAUGGAACUGGGCAGACUGGGGAUGCGCCGUCUUCUCCUUCCUCCUGCCUUUCUCCCCCUUUCCUUCUCUCUCUCUCUCCCUCCACCUCUCUCUGUCUCUCUCGACGUUUCUGUUCCUCCUCUCGUGUGUCUGCUGUGUUCUCUUUGGCCGCUAACCAGCUUCUUCUUCCUGAGUGCUCUCUGUUGCCUCUCUCCACUCAAUACCUUCUACUCACUCCUCGUUUCUGCUCCCUUACGCCUUCAACCCGGGCCAUGGCGCAUCACAGGACUCCGACCACCCAUCGUUCACUGUCUCACCGGGAUUUCUUAGUCCAGAAUCCCAAAGGACAAAAUCCAACUGGAUCCAUCCACUAGGUGCCGUGCAAUCUGGUUGGCUGUGGCUGUGUAUUGAGUCACAAAGAACUACAGCAGCCACCGAGGAGGACACCUGAUUUGAACAGAUCUGUCACAGUGCUGGACAGGUGCUGGAAGCUUGGUUCAUCCCCACCUUCCACACCUUGCAAGACCACGCAGCCUUCCCUCUAGAAAUCUUGCUCUCUUCUUUGACACACUGGAUUGACUGAAAACAGGUUUUCCAUACACUUAGAGAACAAAAAUAUUUUUUGCAUUAAAAGCAGAAUCACAACAGGCACGUGGACAGAUAUUUAAACAAAGGACACACCAAAUCUCACACCCAGUGCUGCCAGAAACACCCGCAAACUCUCCGACCAUGAAAUCAGAAUUUGGGGACCUGGUCUAACAGGUUUGUGAUUAACCUUGUCAACUUAUUUUUGAAACAACCCUCGUCGUUCAUGCCACUGUAGUCACGGGUUCCCUCCCCCAAGCAGGAAGUCCAGAAUGAAAGUGGGUUGUUGCCAUAGCAACAGAGUACAAGGCAGCGAACUCCAGCGAAGGGGGAGGUCCCAAGGCCAGAGCCACAAGAAAGCCCCAGGCCCCAGGGUGGUGGCAGCCGAGAGAGGCAACCUGCCAUGACUUCACACUGCCAGAUGGCCCACUGUCAACACAGGGUCCCCC